Molecule: ribosomal RNA, 493 nt
Filed under: uncultured bacterium
Lineage: Bacteria
Description: partial 16S ribosomal RNA
Rfam family: Bacterial small subunit ribosomal RNA
Source: RNAcentral
AUUGAACGCUGGCGGCAUGCUUUACACAUGCAAGUCGAACGGUAACAGGUUAAGCUGACGAGUGGCGAACGGGUGAGUAAUGCAUCGGAACGUGCCCGAUCGUGGGGGAUAACGCAGCGAAAGCUGCGCUAAUACCGCAUACGAUCUGAGGAUGAAAGCGGGGGACCGUAAGGCCUCGCGCGAUCGGAGCGGCCGAUGUCAGAUUAGGUAGUUGGUGGGGUAAAGGCUCACCAAGCCAACGAUCUGUAGCUGGUCUGAGAGGACGACCAGCCACACUGGGACUGAGACACGGCCCAGACUCCUACGGGAGGCAGCAGUGGGGAAUUUUGGACAAUGGGCGAAAGCCUGAUCCAGCAAUGCCGCGUGCAGGAAGAAGUCCUUCGGGUUGUAAACUGCUUUUGUACGGAGCGAAAAGGUUCUCUCUAAUACAGAGGGCUCAUGACGGUACCGUAAGAAUAAGCACCGGCUAACUACGUGCCAGCCGCCGCCGUAA